Molecule: ribosomal RNA, 834 nt
Filed under: Neodeightonia palmicola
Lineage: Eukaryota; Fungi; Ascomycota; Dothideomycetes; Botryosphaeriales; Botryosphaeriaceae
Description: SSU rRNA
Rfam family: Eukaryotic small subunit ribosomal RNA
Source: RNAcentral
GAAUCUGCAUGUCUAGUAUAGCAUCUAUACUGUGAAACUGCGAAUGGCUCAUUAAAUCAGUUAUCGUUUAUUUGAUAGUACCUUACUACUUGGAUAACCGUGGUAAUUCUAGAGCUAAUACAUGCUAAAAACCCCGACUUCGGGAGGGGUGUAUUUAUUAGAUAAAAAACCAAUGCCCUUCGGGGCUCCUUGGUGAAUCAUGAUAACUUAACGAAUCGCAUGGCCUUGCGCCGGCGAUGGUUCAUUCAAAUUUCUGCCCUAUCAACUUUCGAUGGUAGGAUAGUGGCCUACCAUGGUAUCAACGGGUAACGGGGAAUUAGGGUUCUAUUCCGGAGAGGGAGCCUGAGAAACGGCUACCACAUCCAAGGAAGGCAGCAGGCGCGCAAAUUACCCAAUCCCGACACGGGGAGGUAGUGACAAUAAAUACUGAUACAGGGCUCUUUUGGGUCUUGUAAUUGGAAUGAGUACAAUUUAAAUACCUUAACGAGGAACAAUUGGAGGGCAAGUCUGGUGCCAGCAGCCGCGGUAAUUCCAGCUCCAAUAGCGUAUAUUAAAGUUGUUGCAGUUAAAAAGCUCGUAGUUGAACCUUGGGCCUGGCUGGCCGGUCUGCCUCACCGCAUGUACUGGUUCGGCCGGGCCUUUCCUCCUGGGGAUCCGCAUGCCCUUCACUGGGUGUGUUGGGGAACCAGGACUUUUACUUUGAAAAAAUUAGAGUGUUCAAAGCAGGCCUUUGCUCGAAUACAUUAGCAUGGAAUAAUAGAAUAGGACGUGCGGUCCUAUUUUGUUGGUUUCUAGGACCGCCGUAAUGAUUAAUAGGGAUAGUCGGGGGCAUCA